Molecule: long non-coding RNA, 2837 nt
Filed under: Salvia miltiorrhiza (redroot sage)
Lineage: Eukaryota; Viridiplantae; Streptophyta; Magnoliopsida; Lamiales; Lamiaceae
Description: long non-coding RNA (SMIL_LNC007133)
Source: RNAcentral
UGACGUUCUAUUGGCCUCGUUUUCUUAUGCUUCGCCGUCAUCCUCAACGACACCGGCGGUGUUGGUGCCCUGCGCUUUGCUUUGACCGCAGAAGGUAUAGUUUGCAGUCAUUUUAGGUCGUACAAUUGAUUAGACUGAUAAUACAUUGCAUUGAAUGUUUGAAGGAUUAGAUGAUUAAACAAGAUCUAAAUGUGAGGUGGAUUAAUCUAUAUUACUUGUACAUAUAUCUAAGCUAUCAUUGAGUUGAGACACAGGGUGAGGUUCUAAGCUAAUGAGACACAGGGUGAGGUUCUAAGCUAAGAAUGUCAUUUCUUUUCUCAUCAGUGAUUUGUUUCCUAAUCAUAGUAUAGGAUGCCAGUAAGUGAAAAUGCUUGAAGAUUGCUGAAAUCAAUGUAUCAUCUUAUUGUGGCAUUCAAUGAUUUUGAGACAGUAUACUUUUACAAGAGUACAUGAUCUGCCCUAAAUAGUUGCUCACAGAAUUCAUUUCAUUCCCCUCUCACAUUAUUAGCUACAAGAGGAUGAAUUGUUAGGGGUUCAUAAACCAAGGAUUUCAUAUCUUCCAUCAUUUGUUGUGGAGAUGUGAAUUCAUCGCCGCUUGCAUACAAAUAACACCCAAUCCUGCAUACCUUCAGAAACAUAUCUUUGCAUUGUCUUGGGAAGAUGGUUCCUGUUUUGUAGACAAUCUGCAUCAGUUGUCUCCUGUUACAUUCAGCCAUUUCUUUUGCUAUUCUAAUGGCUUCUUCUUCAGUAAAGGAGCUGUCAUCUUUGUUAGCUGCUAGCAGAAGGGUCACACUGUUUCCAGUAUUUUCUUUGCGUUCCUUCUGUCAAAGCACAUUAAGUUUAUUAUGCAUCCAAAGAAAUCUUUCACCAGAGACUACUAAUCUGUAUUUGUAAUGUGAGAUGCUGAUAUUUGGUUAAUGUUUUCUAGUGUUGCACUUGUAUUCUUGGAAGAAUCUUACCUCAAAAGUUUGCACAUCGUUGAGCAGCCGGUCAACCAUGGAGACAUGCCUACACAGAUCAAUGCACUCUUCACUCAGAAGCAUUUCAUCGGAUAGUUUUAUACCGAUGAAUUGCAUCGACAUGAGGAUGCAGAUUCUGCAGCCAAUUGACACCCAGGAGGCAGACAAGUAAUCAUCCAAGGUUAGUGCCGUGUCAUCGCUCCAUGUAUCCAAUUCUCUCUUGAAAAUUGAUAGUAUUUGAACCCACUGCACUUGUAGCAAACAUAAAAAUUACUUACCAGGAAAACAAAUAUAAGAUGUUAUGCAAUCAUUUAAAGCAUCUUGUUAAUACGACGUACCAGCUUUAUUAGAAAAUCUUUAACACUACGUCCGUGUUCGACAUGAGCCCUCUCUGCCAACUCAUUUACUGUGUUGUAUACUGCUGUAAAAAGAAUUUCAACUUCCUCGGAACCAUAUUCUGCGGCUGGCUUCUAUUUCCAUCUGUUUUUUCACAUUUUGUUGGGACAAAGUUACUAGCUUAUUAUACAUGAAUAAAAAGGAAAAGAAAGCAAUGAACAGAUGAGUUUGUGGAAGGAAGUUUACUCUUUUAUUAAUUCAAGGAUCUUGUAGGACUCUUCUCUAGACCCACGAUGAUCGAAAAAAUCAUCAAUACGUGUCACAAGCACAAUAUGUUGGGCAAAGACUAUGCGAACAUCAGACAAUUCAGGAUCACCAAUAAUUGCUGAAGUUAGAAAAUUAGCAACACGCACUACAUCUCUUCCAUACUUCAAGGUGUCCAACUUACAAUCUGCAUACCACCUACAUGCAUUUUGGUUUGAUGCAUCAAGUAUAUUACUCCUUAUUUAGAUGAAGUUUUAUGGUUAAGCUAUCACAUUGUCAUACCUUUGCAGUUGCUGAAGUUCUUUCUGGUGUUGGGCUUGGCAAAUGUUAAAAUCUUGCCUCGCAAAUGCUAGAAAAUCUUCACUGCAUAGAUUAGAGAACCUAAAACAAAGAAAAAACAUGUUUUUGUUUAGUAUAGAUCGGCAGAAACUGUUUAUCAGAUAUGAGGCAGAUUCAACAUACUGAAUGCCACUCUUUACCUAUUUGCAGCUUUUGCAGUUCGAUAAUAGCUUAUAUCAUAUAGGUCGAGGUUUUGUCUAACUCCCAUUCUAUCUAAUAUCCCGUGAUAGUUCUUCAAGUAGUAUUCCACCUUGACAUUUUUGUGAAAGAAAAAACUUGAUCAGUAUAAAAUUUAAUCUUGAAAAGGUGACUAUUUUAAGCUGAUUAAGAAAAACAUUAAUUAGUAAGCACCAGUUUGUGCAACUUCUUGUCAGGAAUGGAGUUAGUGAGCAACUUCUGCUUAAGAAAGGUGGUGGUCCAAGCAUGUAGUUUCUUAAGACUGCUCUCGUCUUCCCCUGUUCUCUCCUGUGCUGCUCUGUAAAGCUCGAUAACUGUCGCCACUUCAAUCGUUUGCAGGUCAACAUGCUCUUGGUCAGCAUACGGAGCCAGUUCCUCUAAACAACGACGAAAAAGGUUCGUUCACAUUUGUGCAUCUAUCUUAGAUUCUUGUACAUCUUAUGUAUAAUUUGAAUGGUGUUUCCACGUACCUGAUGAAACUUCAUAUCCCUUGACACGCAAAAGUCUAAAUGCCAUUGCAUGAAUAGUAGUAUCCGAAAAUAUCGCUCUCUCUUUCCGUUGCCAUAACCUGUUGAUCAUCGAAGCAGAUAUUCAAGCCUCGGCUUCUGAUUCUAUGCAUAAAAGCAAUGUGGAUCAUCUUUUUCAAUUUUGACAUACCUGUAUGUGUCCUCUAGAAUAGUGUCGAUUUCAGAUCGGAAGUAUCGGUCGACUCCCAACCUUUGGAGGGUGUCGAUUAUACAGAGAUUAGAGGGCAUAUCCGCC